UAUCAGUAAUCUUAUCCCAGCAAUACUGCACUGCCAUUUUUGUGGACACCUAAUCAGCAGAAGAAAGCAGCAUCUCUCUCUGCUUGAACAAGCGAAGCACAUUAGAAGUAUGAUCCACGUCAGCUGAAUAUGAGAGCUGUGUGGUUAUGAUGCAGCCUGAAUACUGUGUGGGGUCCUGUCGUUAAGAAGAAUUCAUUCAACAUCUGCUGGCAGUAUAGAAUUCUCUCUUUGCUACAAGGAAAGACAAGGCCCAGUGUUCACUCUGAUCGGACUUGGCUGAGAAGCUUAAGGUCCUGUUUGGUCUUUAUAAUUCAGUUAAAAGGUCACAUCUUCCUUGCCCAGGAGAUAGAUUCCUCUGGACUCACGUUUUUUGUCCAAGGAAAAGCCUCCUGGUCAAACCACUGGAAAUACACAAGACUGUCCCGUGUGGGACACAUAUACUGCUCAGUAUCUGCUGACACGCAUGUCAUGCCUCUGUAAUGUCUGUAUUGCCUUGUCUGUGAGGUACAGUAUCUCCAAAAAAGACACCACAAAAUAACUACAUUCAUCCAUAAAAUGUCUCCGCCAUGCACAUCUAUUAAUGUGCAGUUUCGAAAAAAAACUCAUUACAGUAUUUCAGAACAGGAUAUCGGGUACUAUACCGAUCUAAAGAAAACUGGCAGACAAGCUUUUUGACUAUCUUACACCUCCUGGCUCCAGAUUUCCUUUAGAGAGUGAAAUUGUCUUCACUCCUUCACUUGCUCUUUCCUGUCAAUAACCAA
Long non-coding RNA from Polyodon spathula (Mississippi paddlefish), 761 nucleotides. RefSeq lists it as uncharacterized. The record is from RefSeq and is a predicted model, not a curated record. The transcript has 3 exons. Lineage: Eukaryota; Metazoa; Chordata; Actinopteri; Acipenseriformes; Polyodontidae.